Molecule: ribosomal RNA, 681 nt
Filed under: Clostridioides difficile
Lineage: Bacteria; Bacillati; Bacillota; Clostridia; Peptostreptococcales; Peptostreptococcaceae
Description: partial 23S ribosomal RNA
Rfam family: Bacterial large subunit ribosomal RNA
Source: RNAcentral
UUGAGAGAAGGGAUGACACAGUAGGAUAAGCUAAGCACACUGUUGGUUAUGUGUGCCCAAGCAUUGAGGCAGUCAAAGUAGGCAAAUCCGCUUUGAUAAUGCUGGGAUGUGAUGGGGAGCGAAAUUUAGUAGCGAAGUAGCUGAUUUCACACUGUCAAGAAAAGUCUCUAUCGAGGUUAAAGGUACCCGUACCGCAAACCGACACAGGUGGGUGAGGAGAGUAUCCUAAGGCCAGCGAGAGAACUGUUGUUAAGGAACUCGGCAAAAUGACCCCGUAACUUAGGGAUAAGGGGUGCCACCAUCAGGUGGCCGCAGAGAAUAGGCCCAAGCGACUGUUUACCAAAAACAUAGGUUUCUGCUAAGUCGCAAGACGAUGUAUAGGAGCUGACGCCUGCCCGGUGCUGGAAGGUUAAGGGGAUCUGUUAGAGUAAUCGAAGCAGUGAACUUAAGCCCCAGUAAACGGCGGCCGUAACUAUAACGGUCCUAAGGUAGCGAAAUUCCUUGUCGGGUAAGUUCCGACCCGCACGAAAGGCGUAACGAUUUGGGCACUGUCUCAACAACAGACUCGGUGAAAUUGUAAUUCCGGUGAAGAUGCCGGAUACCUGCGACAGGACGGAAAGACCCCAUGGAGCUUUACUGUAGCUUGACAUUGGGUCUUGGUACUACAUGUACAGGAUAGGU